AAUGAGAUUGGGUUGGAAAUAUUAGAGAUAAAAGGUCUACAAGUGGAUUUUAUGUUUAUUUUAGGGAGAAUUUAGUAUAGUAGACUUCUAGAAAGUAAAAUGUAGUGGCUUUAUCAUCUAUAGAAUUAGAGUACAAGGCAGUGAGUCAAGUUGGAAUUGAAAUAGCAUGGUUAAGAAGUUUGUUAAGAGAGAUACAGGUUCAUUUUUAUAGUCUAGCAGUAGUAUGGAGUGAUAAUGUAAGUUUAGGGGCUUUAGCUUCUAAUUUAGUGUUUCAUAGUUGAAUGAAACACAUAGAGAUUGAUGUGUACUUCAUAAAAGAGCAAGAGGUUGUAAGAAUAUUGGAAGUUCAAUAUGUACCCACUGAAUUUUAGGUGGCUAAUAUACUUACAAAACCAUUAUCUGUGCUAGGUUUACAAUGUUGAAAGCUAAGCUGAAUAUUGGCUUAGUUUAUAAAAUAGAAACUGAUAUUUGUCAGCAGAAAGGAUAACAAGAAGAUACAGUAGUUAUCGCUCAAGGAGGAUUUGCAACUGAGCUAGGUAGUAUUAGCGAGUGAAACGCUCAGAGGUGUGUUAAAAUUUCAGCUAAUAUGACUGAUGUGCUCGCUUUCAUUUCUAGUUCUUUGUCUCUUUCUUUUAUGGCUUUUUUUUUUUUUUGACGAUGUCAUGUCUGUUGGUGAUAUGGAAAGUUUCAAUGGUAAGUGAACAGUAACUAGGAAUGUCUUAAAGAUGUUGUGACUUUACAAAAGAAUUAAAGUUGUGGGAGGAUAGUCAUAAAGUAGUUUGGGUAAGGAAAGGCGAAUUCUAGAGCUUCUAGGCACAAAGCAACUUGGCUUUCUUUGACUAAAAGGGGAUCUAGGGUUAUGAUUCUUUUCUUCACUUUGGUGUGAUUUGGACAAUGGUGAUACUACAAAUCGAGGUAAUUAUUAAUGAGGGCAUUUAUGGUGAGUUUUGGUUAAGAUGUUAUUGUCAAUUGUAAAUUGAAUGAUGUAUAUUGCUUGUGACAACCUAAAAGUAAUUACAUGUUCUUGUAUAUAAACUUGUUUUUUACACAAUUAUUGGUUGUGUUUAGUGUGCUAUUGAAUGAAAUUUCUGAGGUAUUUUUUUCUCA
Molecule: long non-coding RNA, 1107 nt
Organism: Mangifera indica (mango)
Lineage: Eukaryota; Viridiplantae; Streptophyta; Magnoliopsida; Sapindales; Anacardiaceae
Exons: 2
Source: RefSeq, a predicted model, not a curated record